AAAUUUAAUAUAGUAACAGAUUCACUUAAAGUUUCGACCUCAACCUACAUACCCCUCAUUUGAAAUUUAAAAAGAUAUAUCUCCCCAAUUUGAAAGUUUGAAACUUAUUUAUCCACGUUAUAAAGUUUUGAACUAAAAUCCACCCAAACCUUAGAUUUAAUUUGGUUUGCUGUUUACCAAUUUAGUCUAAACCAUAUACACAUGAAAUUAAACCAAAAUUAAACCGAUUAUAACCCAAUAGAACCACUUAACCCAAAUAAUCCUACCAAACCGAUUAUAAUUCUAAAAUCCCUAAAGCUAAAAAUACACAAAAAUCAAAAUCUUCGAAGACGCAAUCAUCUCCGUCCAACUCUGCUUUCCUUCUCUUCUGCGCAUCCAUCCUUCUCCUCCGCCUUCUCAUCAUACUCAACCUCCAAUUUCUCUACCUCUGUAACGAAAAUCGGUGGCGAACAUGUGACCAUAUAUCAAAAUCCACAUUUUUAACCUCCAGCCGUUGCAAAGGAGCUCGGUUGACAUUUGGGUCAGUCUGAAUCUUGUAGUUGCCACCAUGAAAAAUCUCGUCUUCUUCGCCGUCGUGGUAACUGGAAGAAGCUACAAUAAUGGUGAUUUUGACAUUGUUGAUGACGAAGAGGUAUGGCGGUUUCAACCACAAGAGAAAGGAGCUCCAAUGCGCUACCUUAAGAAAUAUAGCCACAACUGUGAUUCCAGUGGAGAUAAGCACCGCCUUGAUGGUCGACGAUACCAUUUUUCCCGAUUAAUGUGAUUCUUUGAUUCAAAAAAUUUCAUUUGAAAUCAUAAUCAUUUCGUCUGGCUGAUUCGAACUGUAGUUUCCAUGCCGUAAAAUAAUUUACUGGAAUUAUGGCUUCGGGUUUCAAGAAAUGAAAGGAAACUGUAAAAGUUAUUGUUUUUCAAUAGAUAUCGAUACUGAGUUUUGUUGACUUUGCUUCG
This 948-nucleotide long non-coding RNA is filed under the name Eutrema salsugineum. Its description in RNAcentral is "long non-coding RNA (ESAL_LNC000135)". Lineage: Eukaryota; Viridiplantae; Streptophyta; Magnoliopsida; Brassicales; Brassicaceae. The record is from RNAcentral.